CCCGCUGAACUUAAGCAUAUCAAUAAGCGGAGGAAAAGAAACUAACCAGGAUUCCCCUAGUAACUGCGAGUGAAGCGGGAAAAGCUCAAAUUUGAAAUCUCGCAGGAAUGGUCUUGCGCGAAUUGUAGUUUAGAGAAGUGUUUUCGCGGGCAGCCUGGGUAUAAGUCCCCUGGGAUGGGGCAUCAUAGAGGGUGAGAAUCCCGUCCAUGAUCCAGCCGCUGCUUGCAUACGAGACGCUUUCGAAGAGUCAGGUAGUUUGGGAUUGCUGCCUAAAACGGGUGGUAAAUACCAUCUAAAGCUAAAUAUUGGCGAGAGACCGAUAGCGAACAAGUACCGUGAGGGAAAGAUGAAAAGAACUUUGAAAAGAGAGUUAAAAGUACGUGAAAUUGCCAAAAGGGAAACGCUUGAAACCAGUAUUGCGAUGCGGGAAAUCAGCUCAGCGCGCCUGGGAACAAACCACACCCGGGUGCCCGCUGGGUGCACUUUCCAGCAUGCGAGCCAGCAUCAGUUCUGCCUGGCGUAAACCGCCACGGGGAGGUAGCUCUGGGCGACCAGAGUGUUAUAACCCGUGGUUCUGCGCCGGGCCGGGACUGAGGUCUGCAGCGCUGCUCUGGGCUUGCCGCGGCUCUUUGAUGGGUCUGGUGCGACAGCGUGCUGUCGCUGCCGGGCCAGCAGAAGACUCGGCGGACAACGCCACACUGUGCGCUUAGGAUGCUGGCGAAAUGGUUUUAAACGACCCGUCUUGAAACACGG
Molecule: ribosomal RNA, 753 nt
Filed under: uncultured fungus
Lineage: Eukaryota; Fungi
Description: eukaryotic LSU rRNA
Rfam family: Eukaryotic large subunit ribosomal RNA
Source: RNAcentral